RNAcentral lists this transfer RNA (73 nucleotides) under Stegodyphus mimosarum. It matches the Rfam family "tRNA". Rfam says of the family: Transfer RNA (tRNA) molecules are approximately 80 nucleotides in length. Their secondary structure includes four short double-helical elements and three loops (D, anti-codon, and T loops). Lineage: Eukaryota; Metazoa; Arthropoda; Arachnida; Araneae; Eresidae. The record is from Rfam by way of RNAcentral.
ACCUUCGUGGUAUAAUGGCUAGCACACUCGACGCGUAUUUGAGAGAUUCGAGGUUCGAGUCCUGGCGAGGGCA